UACGGAGGGUGCGAGCGUUGUCCGGAAUCACUGGGCGUAAAGGGCGCGUAGGCGGCCUGAUAAGUAGGGGGUGAAAUCCUGCGGCUUAACCGCAGGGCUGCCUUCUAAACUGUCAGGCUAGAGCACGGUAGAGGCAGAUGGAAUUCCCGGUGUAGCGGUGGAAUGCGUAGAGAUCGGGAAGAACAUCAGUGGCGAAGGCGGUCUGCUGGGCCGUUGCUGACGCUGAGGCGCGAAAGCAUGGGGAGCGAACAGG
RNAcentral lists this ribosomal RNA (253 nucleotides) under uncultured bacterium. RNAcentral describes it as "partial 16S ribosomal RNA". It matches the Rfam family "Bacterial small subunit ribosomal RNA", at positions 524 to 776 of the family's 1533-position model. The record is from RNAcentral.